Non-coding RNA from Bos taurus (domestic cattle), 72 nucleotides. NCBI's taxonomy places the organism in Eukaryota, Metazoa, Chordata, Mammalia, Artiodactyla, Bovidae. The record is from Rfam.
UCCCUGGUGGCUCAGUGGUAAAGAAUCUGCCUGCCAAUGCAGGAGACACAGGUUCAAUCCCCGAUCUGGGAA